This 254-nucleotide ribosomal RNA is filed under the name uncultured bacterium. RNAcentral describes it as "partial 16S ribosomal RNA". It matches the Rfam family "Bacterial small subunit ribosomal RNA", at positions 524 to 777 of the family's 1533-position model. The record is from RNAcentral.
UACGUAGGGUGCAAGCGUUGUCCGGAAUUAUUGGGCGUAAAGAGCUCGUAGGCGGUCUGUCGCGUCGGCUGUGAAAACCUGGGGCUUAACUCCGGGCCUGCAGCCGAUACGGGCAGACUAGAGUUCGGCAGGGGAGACUGGAAUUCCUGGUGUAGCGGUGAAAUGCGCAGAUAUCAGGAGGAACACCGAUGGCGAAGGCAGAUCUCUGGGCCGUAACUGACACUGAGAAGCGAAAGCAUGGGGAGCGAACAGGA